RNAcentral lists this long non-coding RNA (245 nucleotides) under Mus spicilegus (steppe mouse). RNAcentral describes it as "lncRNA (ENSMSIG00000024954.1)". Lineage: Eukaryota; Metazoa; Chordata; Mammalia; Rodentia; Muridae. The record is from RNAcentral.
UGUUGUCAUAAAUCAGUGCUGCCGCUGCAGAAUCAGCUAAUUUCUCAGAAGACUUCCAUGGAAACAUGCUCUGCAGUUGUUUACAUUGGGGAGCCUGGAGGUCAUGGAACCAAGUGGCAGAUAAGGCCAGAGUACCAGCUGGGAUCUUUGAGAUCACCUGUCUCAUCUUUGUGACGUAUUCCCCAAGCCUCUGUGACUUUGUUUAUAUGUAGACAAGGGAGGCAGCAAAACCAGGCAAAGGGAAG